Molecule: ribosomal RNA, 404 nt
Filed under: uncultured bacterium
Lineage: Bacteria
Description: bacterial SSU rRNA
Rfam family: Bacterial small subunit ribosomal RNA
Source: RNAcentral
AAAGCCUGAUGGAGCAACGCCGCGUGAGUGAAGAAGGAUUUCGGUUCGUAAAACUCUGUUGUAAGGGAAGAACAAGUACAGUAGUAACUGGCUGUACCUUGACGGUACCUUAUUAGAAAGCCACGGCUAACUACGUGCCAGCAGCCGCGGUAAUACGAAGGGGGCUAGCGUUGUUCGGAAUUACUGGGCGUAAAGCGCACGUAGGCGGAUCGAUCAGUUAGGGGUGAAAUCCCAGGGCUCAACCCUGGAACUGCCUCUAAUACUGUCGAUCUCGAGUUCGAGAGAGGUGAGUGGAAUUCCGAGUGUAGAGGUGAAAUUCGUAGAUAUUCGGAGGAACACCAGUGGCGAAGGCGGCUCACUGGCUCGAUACUGACGCUGAGGUGCGAAAGCGUGGGGAGCAAACA